AAACUUAAAGGAAUUGACGGGGACCCGCACAAGCGGUGGAUGAUGUGGUUUAAUUCGAUGCAACGCGAAAAACCUUACCCACCUUUGACAUGUACGGAAUUUGCCAGAGAUGGCUUAGUGCUCGAAAGAGAGCCGUAACACAGGUGCUGCAUGGCUGUCGUCAGCUCGUGUCGUGAGAUGUUGGGUUAAGUCCCGCAACGAGCGCAACCCUUGUCAUUAGUUGCUACAUUUAGUUGGGCACUCUAAUGAGACUGCCGGUGACAAACCGGAGGAAGGUGGGGAUGACGUCAAGUCCUCAUGGCCCUUAUAGGUGGGGCUACACACGUCAUACAAUGGCUGGUACAAAGGGUUGCCAACCCGCGAGGGGGAGCUAAUCCCAUAAAACCAGUCGUAGUCCGGAUCGCAGUCUGCAACUCGACUGCGUGAAGUCGGAAUCGCUAGUAAUCGUGGAUCAGAAUGUCACGGUGAAUACGUUCCCGGGUCUUGUACACACCGCCCGUCACACCAUGGGAGCGGGUUCUGCCAGAAGUAGUUAGCCUAACCGCAAGGAGGGCGAUUACCACGGCAGGGUUCGUGACUGGGGUGAAGUCGUAACAAGGUAGCCGUAUCGGAAGGUGCGGCUGGAUCACCUCCUUUCUG
Molecule: ribosomal RNA, 639 nt
Filed under: uncultured Comamonadaceae bacterium
Lineage: Bacteria; Pseudomonadati; Pseudomonadota; Betaproteobacteria; Burkholderiales; Comamonadaceae
Description: bacterial SSU rRNA
Rfam family: Bacterial small subunit ribosomal RNA
Source: RNAcentral